AUUGAACGCUGGCGGCAGGCCUAACACAUGCAAGUCGAGCGGAUGAAGGGAGCUUGCUCCUGGAUUCAGCGGCGGACGGGUGAGUAAUGCCUAGGAAUCUGCCUGGUAGUGGGGGAUAACGUCCGGAAACGGGCGCUAAUACCGCAUACGUCCUGAGGGAGAAAGUGGGGGAUCUUCGGACCUCACGCUAUCAGAUGAGCCUAGGUCGGAUUUGCUAGUUGGUGGGGUAAAGGCCUACCAAGGCGACGAUCCGUAACUGGUCUGAGAGGAUGAUCAGUCACACUGGAACUGAGACACGGUCCAGACUCCUACGGGAGGCAGCAGUGGGGAAUAUUGGACAAUGGGCGAAAGCCUGAUCCAGCCAUGCCGCGUGUGUGAAGAAGGUCUUCGGAUUGUAAAGCACUUUAAGUUGGGAGGAAGGGCAGUAAGUUAAUACCUUGCUGUUUUGACAUUACCAACAGAAUAAGCACCGGCUAACUUCGUG
Molecule: ribosomal RNA, 484 nt
Filed under: uncultured bacterium
Lineage: Bacteria
Description: partial 16S ribosomal RNA
Rfam family: Bacterial small subunit ribosomal RNA
Source: RNAcentral